GUUUGGUGAGUUUAUAGACAAGAGAACAGGUUCUGCCAAUUCACCACCAGUUUGUAAAUUCUGAGUUGCGCUUAUCUGAGCCUAUGUUCCCAAAGACCAAUCACUGAUCACCAUUGUUUCCUCCACAACCAAUCACUGAUUACCAUUGUUUCCCUAACAACCAGUUACUGUUCACCAUUAUUCUCAACAACCAAUCACUGGUCACCAUUAUUCUCAACAACCAAUCACUGAUCACCACUGUUUCCCAACAGCUUCUGAUUACCAUUGUUCUCAACAACCAAUCACUGAUCACCAUUGUUUACCCAACAGCCAAACACUAAUCACUCUCAUCUUGAUGAAAUUUCCUUCAUGUCUAUUGCCCAACUAAUCACUACUGCUGCCUCAUUUUGUCUGCAUUCUUGAUAGAAAUCACAGUAUUUUGUAAAUAAAUAAAUAUUUAGUUGUGGAAUGGCCAAAGACGACUUCCUUCUUUUUUUUUCUUUCUUUCUUUUCUUUCUUUCUUUCUUUCUUUUUUUUUUUUACAAGAAAUACUUUAGAAUCUAUUAUUUUCUAUUCUGAUAAAAUUAUUCUAUUCUUCAGAAAAGCUUCAUUCCUCAUGUAACAUGUUCUUUGAUAUGCAAAUAAUCAUGACGAUUCAAUGAAUAUGCAAAUUAGCCUUUUGACAUAAUCUGGUGGUUUCUAUGAGUUUCAAGCAUGCACUGGCUACCUUCUGCUGAAAAGAGUCUGCAACACUGGUGGGGAAUGUCGAUUAGUUGGGAUGGUGGAAAAACAGUAGCGAGGCAGAUCGUAAAGAAUGCAGGAAAUAUUUCAGACUAGACAAAGCCAGUUCUACAGCUCUACUGCAAGUCACUUUUUUUUUUUUAAUGGAAUGUGAUACUUUAUAGUUAACUGAAGAGGUGUAGAUGAAACUGUCAUUUUUUUGCUUCCCUCUCACUCCCACUCCUGAAGGAAGUCUGACCCAUUCCACCCAGUCCCAACGUUAUUUUUCUUUGUACCUGCACAUAAUUUCUCAUGAACAUUGUAUUUACAAAACUAUAAAAAAAAAAAAGGCAAUUUAAACCAUAGUGGCCCUGACCAGAAUAAAGCACUUACUAAUGAGAAAUAAAUGAAUGAAGAAAUCCAGAUUUACGCCAGAUACUCAGAGACAUACAAAACCCGUUAAUCAUUUAAUGGCCUUUGUCUCACAAGCUUUACAUCGAACCUCCUCUCCCAUCCACAUGUCACGCUCCCAUGCCAUAUCCAUCUUCUAUACCGCUUUAUCCUUUUCAGGGUCACGGGGAACCUGGAGCCUAUCCCAGGGAGCAUCGGGCACAAGGCGGGGUACACCCUGGACAGGCUGCCAAUCCAUCGCAAGGCACAAUCACACACCCAUUCAUACGGACACUUUAGACAUGCCAAUCAUGUCUACCAUGCAUGUCUUUGGACUGGGGGAGGAAACCCCUGCAGCACAGGGAGAACAUGCAAACUCCACACACACAGAGCCACGGUGCGACUCGAACCCCCGACCCUGGAGGUGUGAGGCGAACGUGCUAACCGCUAA
Long non-coding RNA from Ictalurus punctatus (channel catfish), 1540 nucleotides. NCBI's taxonomy places the organism in Eukaryota, Metazoa, Chordata, Actinopteri, Siluriformes, Ictaluridae. The record is from Ensembl.